RNAcentral lists this long non-coding RNA (2625 nucleotides) under Homo sapiens (human). RNAcentral's name for it is "HSALNT0163656". The record is from RNAcentral. Lineage: Eukaryota; Metazoa; Chordata; Mammalia; Primates; Hominidae.
GGUGGGAGGGGGUCCCUGGAGAAUCUCCAACCAGCCUGCGCACUGGGAAUGCGCACUGGAGUGAAAAUACAGAAGUUGGUGCCCUUUGCAGCAGCCAGGAGUCCGACUCCUCCUCUUCCUGUGUGGAACCUGGAAUUCAAACGGCUGGGGCCUCACUCACGGCAUAUGGAACUAACCACGCCCCUAACUAAGAAGGCACACCUUAGUUGCAGUUAGCACACAAUUAAAGCAACUCUCCAAGUUUUACCUUAAAGUUCAAAAUUGCUAGGAGUUGAAACUACUAGAAAUAUAUUUACAUGCAAGAGUCAAAGAAACUUUGAACUAUUUAUGGCCUUUAAUAAUUAAGUAAGGUAUACUCCUGUGAUCAAGACUUGGAGCAUAUUUGUUUCUCUCUGCCUGGUUCCUCUAGAAAUUGGAAACUAUCAGAACAGAGACCAACUCCGUUUCCCGAUCCCUUUGCAAUCUGCAUUGAACCAUGAGUCAAGUUCUUGAUAAAGGAGUGAAAAUGGAUGACAUUUAAGGCACAUCUGAAGAUGGGGAAACCACAGCACAGAAUAAGGCUGGGCCCUUGAAUCAAUAAAUGAAGGAGAACUACUCAAGAGAACAAAACCACCAGCAAUAUCCACCUGUAUUUGUCUUUUCAUAAUGUGUGACACAUGUGCUCAUGGAUUAUUGUCCGAAGCAAGACAUGUGACCAAGCCUAACAUCAACUGGGUGAAGAGCUAUAUGUUCCUUUCUCAAGAGGCACUACAAGUGACAUGCCACUGGGCAGAUGGAGUCUCGCUCUGUCACCCAGGCUAGAGUGCAGUACCGCAAUCUCGGCUCGCUGCAAGCUCUGACUCCCAGGUUCACACCAUUCUCCUGCCUCAGCCUCCCAAGUAGCUGGCACUACAGGCGCCCACCACCAUGCCUGGCUAAUUUUUUAUAUUUUUAGUAGAGAAGGGGUUUCGCCGUGUUAGCCAGAAUGGUCUUGAUCUCCUGACCUCAUGAUCUGCCCACCUCGGCCUCCCAAAGUGCUGGGAUUACAGGCGUGAGCCACCGCGACUGGCCUAACAUAUUUUUAAAACCUGCAGAAUGUUUGUAUUACUUUUGUCAUAGUACAUAACAUUUAAAUGGAUUUCUUGUUUGUGUAUGUGUGUAUAUUCAUUCACAACACUGAUAGUUUUUCUGAAUAUUUCCUUUGGAUUUUAUUCUUUUCUCAUUCAACUAAAUAAGAACCUGCACCAUCUUUUUCUAGUGUAAAAAUUACAAUAUCUGAAGUGAAACUACUAGAAUAAAUCUUGUGACAAUUCUUAAGGAUUAUCUUUUAGUUGGUAUGGUUUCCAAAAAAGAUUGUACUAAGUUUUACUCCCAGUGGAAAUAUUUAAAGGCAAUACUUCCAUUUCUUUUUUACAGAAUAGAAUCCAAUUAUUCUUUUUCAUCCCAUUGUUGUAUACAGACUUUAUUUCAUUUACUUGUAGAUCAAAGGUUUUUUGGUUUCCUAUCUUUUGGACACUGUUUUGGGUACUAGAGAGAGCAUGAGUAGCUAAGUUUCUGAAAUUUACAGUGAAUGGAAAAAGAUAGGCAUAAAUGAAACAAUCACAAAAAUAAAUGUAACAGCUACAGUUACAGUUGUAAAACUGUGGUCAGUGCUAUGGAGGAGUGUACAAGGUGAUAUGAGAGAUCAUAAUAGGGAAGUUAAAUCUCUGGUUCAUGUAAAACUGCCAUGGACACACUCUCAGUGAACUUAGAGCUAAAAGAGGAGUAAUAGCCAUUAGACACAAAAAAGCAGAUAGAAAAUGUUCUGGGAAGAAUAAUGUCUAUAAAGGAUCUGGGGUAGGAGAGAGCAUUGUUCUUUGGUGAUAUGAGAUUGGAGGGAUAGGUGAAUAUAAAACAUAAGCAUAAAAACUAGAUAGUAUUUAAAUCCUUUCCUUGGAUCUUAAUGAGAAGCACUAAAGAGAUUUAAAUAGAGAAUGACAACAUGUAAUUUGGCUUUUAAACAAAGUUAUGUUUUUUAAUGCAGAAAAUAAAUUGGAAUGAAGCCCAUGUGAAUGCAUGGAGACAAGGUGAAAAGGUAGAUGAGAAAAAAGUUGGAAAUAUUUGCAGGUACAUUUGACAGGACCAGGAGAUGUCUUGGGCAUUCAUGAUGAUGGAAGAGUGGUCAAUAAUGACUCUAUUUUCUAGCUUGUAUCAUGAGAUGAAUGGAGACCCGUAGAAGAAUAAGUUUUGUGAGUGACUGGGUCAUGUAAUAUAUUUUGGAUUUGUUAAAUGUGAACUACUUUUAAGAAACUGUGGGGAAAAACUUCGUUUUGUUUACAUCCAUGAAUCAUUUGAAGCACGAAAAAUAAUUCUCAGCUGAAGAUACAAAUAUGAGGGCCCUGGGUGUAUAACUGAAGGCACGAGUAUAAAUGGGAUUAUUUAGGGAGGGCUUAAAAGUGGAUAGAGAGUAAAUUCACAGACUAUAGGUACAAAAUAAUCACCAAUGACAAUAUAUUAUGCAGCUUAAGACCAAUUGUAUGUAUUUUCCUGACAAUGUCUUUUAGAGCCUGUGACUAGUUUUCUCCUGAAGAUGUGGUGAUCUUCUUAUCAAUUUUUAAGAGUACUUAAAUGUUUUAACAAUUAUAUUUAACUCAAAAUUAGUUUCCA